UCCCUGGUAGCUCACUUGGUAAAGAAACUGCCUGCAGUACAGGAGACCCAGGUUUGAUUCCUGGUCAGGAAG
RNAcentral lists this transfer RNA (72 nucleotides) under Bos taurus (domestic cattle). It matches the Rfam family "tRNA". From Rfam's summary of the family: Transfer RNA (tRNA) molecules are approximately 80 nucleotides in length. Their secondary structure includes four short double-helical elements and three loops (D, anti-codon, and T loops). The record is from Rfam by way of RNAcentral. Lineage: Eukaryota; Metazoa; Chordata; Mammalia; Artiodactyla; Bovidae. RNAcentral also lists the same sequence under 3 other names.